GGAGAGACCGCUGAGUGGCACAGUGCCUGCCUAGCAAACAUGAGGUCCUGGGUUUGAUUCUCAGUAUCUCUU
RNAcentral lists this transfer RNA (72 nucleotides) under Cavia porcellus (domestic guinea pig). It matches the Rfam family "tRNA". Rfam says of the family: Transfer RNA (tRNA) molecules are approximately 80 nucleotides in length. Their secondary structure includes four short double-helical elements and three loops (D, anti-codon, and T loops). Further hydrogen bonds mediate the characteristic L-shaped molecular structure. tRNAs have two regions of fundamental functional importance: the anti-codon, which is responsible for specific mRNA codon recognition, and the 3' end, to which the tRNAs corresponding amino acid is attached (by aminoacyl-tRNA synthetases). tRNAs cope with the degeneracy of the genetic code in two manners: having more than one tRNA (with a specific anti-codon) for a particular amino acid; and 'wobble' base-pairing, i.e. permitting non-standard base-pairing at the 3rd anti-codon position. Lineage: Eukaryota; Metazoa; Chordata; Mammalia; Rodentia; Caviidae. The record is from Rfam by way of RNAcentral.